This 735-nucleotide ribosomal RNA is filed under the name uncultured bacterium. RNAcentral's name for it is "bacterial SSU rRNA". It matches the Rfam family "Bacterial small subunit ribosomal RNA", at positions 124 to 847 of the family's 1533-position model. The record is from RNAcentral.
AUCUGCCUUUGAGCGGGGGACAACAUUUGGAAACGAAUGCUAAUACCGCAUAACAACUUUAAACACAAGUUUUAAGUUUGAAAGAUGCAAUUGCAUCACUCAAAGAUGAUCCCGCGUUGUAUUAGCUAGUUGGUGAGGUAAAGGCUCACCAAGGCGAUGAUACAUAGCCGACCUGAGAGGGUGAUCGGCCACAUUGGGACUGAGACACGGCCCAAACUCCUACGGGAGGCAGCAGUAGGGAAUCUUCGGCAAUGGACGAAAGUCUGACCGAGCAACGCCGCGUGAGUGAAGAAGGUUUUCGGAUCGUAAAACUCUGUUGGUAGAGAAGAACGUUGGUGAGAGUGGAAAGCUCAUCAAGUGACGGUAACUACCCAGAAAGGGACGGCUAACUACGUGCCAGCAGCCGCGGUAAUACGUAGGUCCCGAGCGUUGUCCGGAUUUAUUGGGCGUAAAGCGAGCGCAGGUGGUUUAUUAAGUCUGGUGUAAAAGGCAGUGGCUCAACCAUUGUAUGCAUUGGAAACUGGUAGACUUGAGUGCAGGAGAGGAGAGUGGAAUUCCAUGUGUAGCGGUGAAAUGCGUAGAUAUAUGGAGGAACACCGGUGGCGAAAGCGGCUCUCUGGCCUGUAACUGACACUGAGGCUCGAAAGCGUGGGGAGCAAACAGGAUUAGAUACCCUGGUAGUCCACGCCGUAAACGAUGAGUGCUAGAUGUAGGGAGCUAUAAGUUCUCUGUAUC